This is a long non-coding RNA of Perca fluviatilis (European perch), 716 nucleotides long. RefSeq lists it as uncharacterized. Lineage: Eukaryota; Metazoa; Chordata; Actinopteri; Perciformes; Percidae. The transcript has 6 exons. The record is from RefSeq and is a predicted model, not a curated record.
UCUGGAAGCCCUGUCCGUCAGCAGAUGUCACUGCCUCCACCACCUGCAUAUGAGUCAACACCACACAGGAAACCAGCCGGUCGCCCAGAGCUUGAUGGGUCUAUUGUAACGCAAGCUCGGCCUGAGACCCAGUUGAAGCAGAGCUCCUCACACAGAUAUCCAUGAGGACAUCCAUUACCCGCAUGGCACAGCGGAUGGACACAUUUGAGGAAAAAAUGGAUGAGCUGCUCAUGCUCUUAAGGAGCUCCCAGUCACCUCCCUCUGCUCCAGUCGAUGACGUGUUGCUGUCACCCUGCUCGACAGUCACCGAGCUGCAGUUAGACAGGAGUCUCGGUCAACAGCAGAGGAGGAACAAAAUGCAACUUUUCCUGACAACCUUUGGAGGUUCGACCGGAGGUACUGCCAUCCGUCGCAUGCUACGGCGAGUGGCAACCAAUGACGUUGUAACACCGUAUAGCCUGCAGGGCAGAAAGAUAAAGAAGGCCUUCCAGGACCUGACAAUCUGCAGGGUUAUAACAGGCAGGUGUUAUUUUAUUGUUCACAUCAGUAUUAUGCUUAGCUUGGCUGAUAAGAGGUUUUAAUUUGACUUGUAACUUUGCUUCUACUACUGCAGCAGACGUGGAGCACCCCACAGUGCUUAAUGUGCCUAUAUGUAUGUUGUCUCUAUUGUACAGUGUGUGUCUAUAUGGCCAAUAAAACCGAUUCUGAUUCUUAUA